UACGUAGGGUGCAAGCGUUAAUCGGAAUUACUGGGCGUAAAGCGUGCGCAGGCGGCUUUGCAAGACAGAUGUGAAAUCCCCGGGCUCAACCUGGGAACUGCCUUUGUGACUGCAUAGCUAGAGUACGGUAGAGGGGGAUGGAAUUCCGCGUGUAGCAGUGAAAUGCGUAGAUAUGCGGAGGAACACCGAUGGCGAAGGCAAUCCCCUGGACCUGUACUGACGCUCAUGCACGAAAGCGUGGGGAGCAAACAGG
This 253-nucleotide ribosomal RNA is filed under the name uncultured bacterium. RNAcentral describes it as "partial 16S ribosomal RNA". It matches the Rfam family "Bacterial small subunit ribosomal RNA", at positions 524 to 776 of the family's 1533-position model. The record is from RNAcentral.